RNAcentral lists this ribosomal RNA (263 nucleotides) under uncultured bacterium. RNAcentral's name for it is "partial 16S ribosomal RNA". It matches the Rfam family "Bacterial small subunit ribosomal RNA", at positions 524 to 776 of the family's 1533-position model. The record is from RNAcentral.
UACAGAGGGGGCAAGGCGUUGUUCGGAAUUACUGGGCGUAAAGAGUGUGUAGGCGGUGCUCUAAGUUCGGUGUGAAAUCUCCCGGCUUAAACUGGGAGGGUGCGCCGGAAAACUGGAAGGCUUUGAGUAUGGGAGAGGUAAGCGGAAUUCCUGGUGGUGAGCGGUGAAAUGCGUAGAUAUCAGGAGGAACACCUGUGGCGAAGGCGGCCGGACACUGGGGCCGACCCUGACGCUGAGGCGCGAAGGCGUGGGGAGCGAACGGG